UACGUAGGUGGCGAGCGUUGUCCGGAUUUACUGGGCGUAAAGAGCGCGCAGGCGGCUGGUCAAGUCCGAUGUGAAAGCUCCCGGCUUAACUGGGAAAUUGCAUCGGAAACUGAUCGGCUGGAAGGUGGGAGAGGGUAGCGGAAUUCCCGGUGUAGUGGUGAAAUUCGUAGAUAUCGGGAGGAACACCAGUGGCGAAGGCGACUACCUGGCCUGUUCUUGACGCUGAGGCGCGAAAGCUAGGGGAGCAAACGGG
This 253-nucleotide ribosomal RNA is filed under the name uncultured bacterium. RNAcentral describes it as "partial 16S ribosomal RNA". It matches the Rfam family "Bacterial small subunit ribosomal RNA", at positions 524 to 776 of the family's 1533-position model. The record is from RNAcentral.